Long non-coding RNA from Silurus meridionalis, 123 nucleotides. RefSeq lists it as uncharacterized. The transcript is spliced from 2 exons. The record is from RefSeq and is a predicted model, not a curated record. Lineage: Eukaryota; Metazoa; Chordata; Actinopteri; Siluriformes; Siluridae.
UAUGUGUGUGUGUGUGUGUGUGUGUGUGUGUGUGUGUGUGUGUGUGUGUGUGUGUGUGUUACAGCUGAUAAAAUGUUAGUGACUGUAAUAAUGGUUACAGCUGAGAAUAAAAGGUUAAUAAAG